RNAcentral lists this ribosomal RNA (465 nucleotides) under uncultured bacterium. Its description in RNAcentral is "partial 16S ribosomal RNA". It matches the Rfam family "Bacterial small subunit ribosomal RNA", at positions 28 to 507 of the family's 1533-position model. The record is from RNAcentral.
GACGAACGCUGGCGGCGUGCUUAACACAUGCAAGUCGAACGGAAAGGCCCUGCUUGCAGGGUACUCGAGUGGCGAACGGGUGAGUAACACGUGGGUGAACUGCCCUGCACUUCGGGUUAAGCCUGGGAAACUGGGUCUAAUACCGGAUAGGAGCUAUUUUUAGCGGGAUGGUUGGAAAGUUAUUUCGGUGUAGGAUGAGCUCGCGGCCUAUCGGCUUGCUGGUGGGGUGAUGGCGUACCAAGGCGGCGGAGGGUAGCCGGCCUGAGUGGGUGGCCGGCCACAUUGGGUCCGAGGGACGGCCCAGACACCUACGGGAGGCAGCAGGGGGGAAGAUUGCACGAUGGGCGCAAGCCGGAUGCAGCGGCGCCGCGUGGGGGAAGACGGCCUUCGGGUUGAAGAAUCCUUGCGCAAGUGACGAAGCUUUUUGUGACGGUACCUAGAGAAGAAGCACCGGCUAACUACGUG